This 499-nucleotide ribosomal RNA is filed under the name uncultured bacterium. RNAcentral describes it as "partial 16S ribosomal RNA". It matches the Rfam family "Bacterial small subunit ribosomal RNA", at positions 28 to 523 of the family's 1533-position model. The record is from RNAcentral.
GAUGAACGCUGGCGGCGUGCCUAACACAUGCAAGUCGAGCGAGAAGUUUAUGGAAUAAGUCUUCGGACAAGUAAAGUAAAUGGAAAGCGGCGGACGGGUGAGUAACGCGUAGGCAACCUGCCCCAUACAGAGGGAUAGCCUCGAGAAAUCGGGAUUAAAACCUCAUAAUGCCAUCGAGUCACAUGGCUCUUUGGCCAAAGAUUUAUCGGUAUGGGAUGGGCCUGCGUCUGAUUAGCUAGUUGGUGAGGUAACGGCUCACCAAGGCUGCGAUCAGUAGCAGAACUGAGAGGUUCAUCUGCAACAUUGGAACUGAGACACGGUCCAAACUCCUACGGGAGGCAGCAGUGAGGAAUAUUGCACAAUGGGCGAAAGCCUGAUGCAGCAACGCCGCGUGAGCGAUGAAGGCCUUUGGGUCGUAAAGCUCUGUCCUUGGGGAAGAAACAAACGACGGUACCCUUGGAGGAAGCCCCGGCUAACUACGCGCCAGCAGCCGCCGUAA